CCUACGGGAGACAGCAGUGAGGAAUAUUGGUCAAUGGACGGAAGUCUGAACCAGCCAUGCCGCGUGCAGGAAGACGGCUCUAUGAGUUGUAAACUGCUUUUGUACAAGGGUAAACCUGUAUACGUGUGUUCAGCUGAAAGUACUGUACGAAUAAGGAUCGGCUAACUCCGUGCCAGCAGCCGCGGUUAUACGGAGGAUCCAAGCGUUAUCCGGAUUUAUUGGGUUUAAAGGGUGCGUAGGCGGAUUGAUAAGUUAGAGGUGAAAUGUUCGAGCUUAACUCGGGAACUGCCGCUAAUACUGUUGAUCUAGAGAGUAGAUGCGGUAGGCGGAAUGUAUGGUGUAGCGGUGAAAUGCUUAGAGAUCAUACAGAACACCGAUUGCGAAGGCAGCUUACCAAUCCAUAUCUGACGUUGAGGCACGAAAGCGUGGGUAGCAAACAGGAUUAGAUACCCUAGUAGUC
Molecule: ribosomal RNA, 460 nt
Filed under: uncultured bacterium
Lineage: Bacteria
Description: partial 16S ribosomal RNA
Rfam family: Bacterial small subunit ribosomal RNA
Source: RNAcentral